This 203-nucleotide ribosomal RNA is filed under the name uncultured bacterium. RNAcentral's name for it is "partial 16S ribosomal RNA". It matches the Rfam family "Bacterial small subunit ribosomal RNA", at positions 135 to 334 of the family's 1533-position model. The record is from RNAcentral.
GUAGGGGAGUAACGUAGCGAAGUUACGCUAAUACCGCAUAUGCCCUAAGGGGGAAAGGCGGGGGACGUCUGCAAAGAGCCUCCGCGCGACUGGAGCGGCUGAUAUCAGAUUAGCUUGUUGGUGGGGUAAAAGCCCACCAAGGCGACGAUCUGUAGCUGGUUUGAGAGAACGACCAGCCACACUGGGACUGAGACACGGCCCAG